Molecule: ribosomal RNA, 450 nt
Filed under: uncultured bacterium
Lineage: Bacteria
Description: partial 16S ribosomal RNA
Rfam family: Bacterial small subunit ribosomal RNA
Source: RNAcentral
GUGGGGAAUAUUGGACAAUGGGCGAAAGCCUGAUCCAGCCAUGCCGCGUGUGUGAAGAAGGUCUUCGGAUUGUAAAGCACUUUAAGUUGGGAGGAAGGGCAGUAAGUUAAUACCUUGCUGUUUUGACGUUACCGACAGAAUAAGCACCGGCUAACUUCGUGCCAGCAGCCGCGGUAAUACGAAGGGUGCAAGCGUUAAUCGGAAUUACUGGGCGUAAAGCGCGCGUAGGUGGUUCAGCAAGUUGAAGGUGAAAUCCCCGGGCUCAACCUGGGAACUGCCUCCAAAACUGCAUGACUAGAGUACGGUAGAGGGUAGUGGAAUUUCCUGUGUAGCGGUGAAAUGCGUAGAUAUAGGAAGGAACACCAGUGGCGAAGGCGACUACCUGGACUGAUACUGACACUGAGGUGCGAAAGCGUGGGGAGCAAACAGGAUUAGAAACCCGGGUAGUCC